Molecule: ribosomal RNA, 441 nt
Filed under: uncultured soil bacterium
Lineage: Bacteria
Description: bacterial SSU rRNA
Rfam family: Bacterial small subunit ribosomal RNA
Source: RNAcentral
AGAACGAACGCUGGCGGCAGGCCUAACACAUGCAAGUCGAACGCUCGUAGCAAUACGGGAGUGGCAGACGGGUGAGUAACGCGUGGGAACGUACCCUUCGGUUCGGAAUAACCCGGGGAAACUCGGGCUAAUACCGGAUACGUCCGCAAGGAGAAAGAUUUAUCGCCGAAGGAUCGGCCCGCGUCGGAUUAGCUAGUUGGUGAGGUAACGGCCCACAAGGCUACGAUCCGUAGCUGGUCUGAGAGGAUGAUCAGCCACACUGGGACUGAGACACGGCCCAGACUCCUACGGGAGGCAGCAGUGGGGAAUAUUGGACAAUGGGCGAAAGCCUGAUCCAGCCAUGCGCGUGAGUGAAGAAGGCCCUAGGGUGUAAAGCUCUUCAGCGGGAAGAUAAUGACGUACCCGCAGAAGAAGCCCGGCUAACUUCGUGCCAGCAGCCGC